UGCCAGACUCCUACGGGAGGCAGCAGUGGGGAAUAUUGCACAAUGGGGGAAACCCUGAUGCAGCAACGCCGCGUGAGUGAAGAAGUAUUUCGGUAUGUAAAGCUCUAUCAGCAGGGAAGAAGAUGACGGUACCUGAGUAAGAAGCCCCGGCGAACUACGUGCCAGCAGCCGCGGUAAUACGUAGGGGGCAAGCGUUAUCCGGAUUUACUGGGUGUAAAGGGAGCGUAGACGGUGAGACAAGUCUGAAGUGAAAGCCCGGGGCUCAACCCCGGGACUGCUUUGGAAACUGCCUGACUGGAGUGCUGGAGAGGCAAGCGGAAUUCCUAGUGUAGCGGUGAAAUGCGUAGAUAUUAGGAAGAACACCAGUGGCGAAGGCGGCUUGCUGGACAGUAACUGACGUUGAGGCUCGAAAGCGUGGGUAGCAAACAGGAUUAGAUACCCGGGUA
RNAcentral lists this ribosomal RNA (446 nucleotides) under uncultured bacterium. RNAcentral describes it as "bacterial SSU rRNA". It matches the Rfam family "Bacterial small subunit ribosomal RNA", at positions 329 to 792 of the family's 1533-position model. The record is from RNAcentral.